Molecule: transfer RNA, 70 nt
Filed under: Camelus bactrianus (Bactrian camel)
Lineage: Eukaryota; Metazoa; Chordata; Mammalia; Artiodactyla; Camelidae
Also listed under: 2 other names
Rfam family: tRNA
About the family: Transfer RNA (tRNA) molecules are approximately 80 nucleotides in length. Their secondary structure includes four short double-helical elements and three loops (D, anti-codon, and T loops).
Source: Rfam by way of RNAcentral
GGGUAUAGCUCAGUGGUAGAGUGUAUGCUUAGCAUGCAUAAGGUCCUGGGUUCAAUCCCCAGUAGUUCCA